RNAcentral lists this ribosomal RNA (467 nucleotides) under uncultured bacterium. RNAcentral describes it as "partial 16S ribosomal RNA". It matches the Rfam family "Bacterial small subunit ribosomal RNA", at positions 28 to 507 of the family's 1533-position model. The record is from RNAcentral.
GACGAACGCUGGCGGCGUGCUUAACACAUGCAAGUCGAACGGAAAGGCCCUGCUUUUGUGGGGUGCUCUAGUGGCGAACGGGUGAGUAAACCAUGGUUAACCGACCUUCUCCUUGGGGUUAAUUACUGCUAACAGGGGUAACUACUGCCGCGUACCUCCGCCGGACGGAGGGGGGUGGAAAUCUUCGGCGGUUGGGGAUGGUCUUCCGGGUUGUCAGCUUGUUGGGGGGGGAGUGGCUUACCAAGGCUUUGACGGGUAGCCGGCCUGCGAGGGUGACCGGCGACAUUGGGACUGAGAUACGGCCCAGAGUCCUACGGGAGGCAGCAGUGGGGAAUAUUGCACAAUGGGCGGAAGCCUGAUGCAGCAACGCCGCGUGCGGGAUGACGGCCUUCGGGGUGUAAACCGCUUUCGCCUGUGACGAAGCGUGAGUGACGGUAAUGGGUAAAGAAGCACCGGCUAACUACGUG